This 1080-nucleotide ribosomal RNA is filed under the name Arthrobacter sp. RNAcentral describes it as "bacterial SSU rRNA". Lineage: Bacteria; Bacillati; Actinomycetota; Actinomycetes; Micrococcales; Micrococcaceae. The record is from RNAcentral.
UACGGGAGGCAGCAGUGGGGAAUAUUGCACAAUGGGCGAAAGCCUGAUGCAGCGACGCCGCGUGAGGGAUGACGGCCUYCGGGUUGUAAACCUCUUUCAGUAGGGAAGAAGCGAAAGUGACGGUACCUGCAGAAGAAGCGCCGGCUAACUACGUGCCAGCAGCCGCGGUAAUACGUAGGGCGCAAGCGUUAUCCGGAAUUAUUGGGCGUAAAGAGCUCGUAGGCGGUUUGUCGCGUCUGCUGUGAAAGGCCAGGGCUCAACCCUGGUUCUGCAGUGGGUACGGGCAGACUUGAGUGAUGUAGGGGAGACUGGAAUUCCUGGUGUAGCGGUGAAAUGCGCAGAUAUCAGGAGGAACACCGAUGGCGAAGGCAGGUCUCUGGGCAUUAACUGACGCUGAGGAGCGAAAGCAUGGGGAGCGAACAGGAUUAGAUACCCUGGUAGUCCAUGCCGUAAACGUUGGGCACUAGGUGUGGGGGACAUUCCACGUUUUCCGCGCCGUAGCUAACGCAUUAAGUGCCCCGCCUGGGGAGUACGGCCGCAAGGCUAAAACUCAAAGGAAUUGACGGGGGCCCGCACAAGCGGCGGAGCAUGCGGAUUAAUUCGAUGCAACGCGAAGAACCUUACCAAGGCUUGACAUGGACUGGAUCGCAUCAGAGAUGGUGUUUCCCUUCGGGGCUGGUUCACAGGUGGUGCAUGGUUGUCGUCAGCUCGUGUCGUGAGAUGUUGGGUUAAGUCCCGCAACGAGCGCAACCCUCGUUCCAUGUUGCCAGCGCGUAAUGGCGGGGACUCAUGGGAGACUGCCGGGGUCAACUCGGAGGAAGGUGGGGACGACGUCAAAUCAUCAUGCCCCUUAUGUCUUGGGCUUCACGCAUGCUACAAUGGCCGGUACAAAGGGUUGCGAUACUGUGAGGUGGAGCUAAUCCCAAAAAGCCGGUCUCAGUUCGGAUUGGGGUCUGCAACUCGACCCCAUGAAGUUGGAGUCGCUAGUAAUCGCAGAUCAGCAACGCUGCGGUGAAUACGUUCCCGGGCCUUGUACACACCGCCCGUCAAGUCACGAAAGUUGGUAACACCCGAAGCCGG